UACAUCCAACUUCUUCCGCUCUUUUCUCUCAGCCCUAAGAACAAGUUUAGGGAGAAAAAGUUUGAUAGAGUUGGAUUCUCCCCUGUGCUGAGCUGCGAGAGGUAAUCGAGAUGGGAGAUGAUGCUGUUGGUGUUGUUGGUGCUGAGAUCAACUUGAUAAGAUCCUAGAUUAAGAAGAAGUGGUGAAGUUGAAGCCCCUGCUGGUCCGAACUGAAGAAAUCUGGAAGAAGGAGCUUCGAUUUGGGGGUUAAUUAAGUCAUGAAGGAGAUGGAGUGUUUGGUGUAUUGAGCUGUGAGGAGAAAAAGGCUUGGUGGAAUUGAGGGUCCUUGUUGUUCCAAGCUGAGAAGGAUUGGAAUGAACUACGAAUUAGUAGUGGGAAUUGGUUAUUCACUGCUGCAGGAAUUAUAAAAGAGAAAGAAAGCAAAAUGCUGAAAUUCCUGCUGUGAAGGAAUUUCCUACUAGUUGGAGCUGCCGAAUUGGAGGAUUGGGCUAUUUGAAGCACUAAGAAGUGUGCUGUGAAAAGAAUGUGAAGUGCAGAAUUUCAGCAUACAAUUCUUGCUUAUUGGAGCUGAAAUAGAACUUGAUAGAGCUUUAAACUCAGUGGCUGCACAAAGGGAAGUAUUAGCGCUGAAAUUUCAGCAUGGUGCAGAUCUUACUACAAGCU
Ananas comosus (pineapple) is the source of this 663-nucleotide long non-coding RNA. RefSeq lists it as uncharacterized. Lineage: Eukaryota; Viridiplantae; Streptophyta; Magnoliopsida; Poales; Bromeliaceae. The record is from RefSeq and is a predicted model, not a curated record. The transcript has 6 exons.